UCAGUGGCUUAGAGUAUUGCAGGAUGAAGCACUUUUAUCCACUUGGAAACAACAAUUGGAUCAAGAUUCUAAUACCCUCAAAAUGAAAGAAAAUUUGAAUACCAUGCAAACAGUAAGGCUUUCACCUUCACAUCUGAUGAUGUUCUUAUUGCUCACAUUUGUGACUCUCCUCAGAUGUUUAUUUUCUUCUCUUGCAUUCUUAUGGGUGUGUACAAUUAAUUAAGAUAGAAGAUCACAAAAGAACAUUUCUUUAGUUUUAACUGCCAAAUCCGAACAUACGUAAUUGUCGAUCAAGAGAUCUUAGAAUCGAUAAAUUUAGAUUAAUGUUAGAAAUUUUGAGAGUUCUUAGUUAAAAAAUAUUGAGGUGACAUGAAUAAUCUAAUCAAUAAUGAUAUGAUCCAUACAGCUGGCCCCAAGUUACAUUGGAUGUAGGUGUAAUUGUUAUGAAUUUCAAAUGAAGCAUAGUUAGAAAUGCCUAGGGGGAAAAGAAAAGGAAAUGAAAAAGGAUUUUAAAAGAAGUUUUGUAAGAAAAGAAAAGGAAAUGAAAAAGGAUUUUAGAAGAAGUUUUGUAAGAAUAUGGAUUAUCAUUUAUCUUGGGACAUUGUUUGUCUCACAACCGAUAUACAAAUUCACCUUUCACUUUAUUAGGUGCCUUCCUAUUUCACAUUGGUGUUAGGUCACUCUUCGAUUCCAGUUCCUAUUUCACAAUCUCGUCUAACCUUUACAUUUAUUCUGCAUAUGGAGGUUAAGUUGCAAUGCACAAUUCAAUCUUACUUUUGCUUAUCCUAUAACUUGCUCUCAAGGGCAACUUUUUCUUUUUUUUUGGAGAAUGCUAACAUUCUCAUAUAUCAAUAGCAAAAAAUGUAAUGCUGAAGAAACCCAAGCAAAUAUUACAAAAUCUAAAGAAAUAAAAACCUAACAGCUAAACUUGCAUUACCUUCCAGCAUUCUAACACUAGGAUUGGCGCUCUCUGAUAUUUUUUUUUAAAAAAUUUUGUGAACAAGAAUGCUUGAUUUCUGGUUAUACAGUAUUAGCCCAUAGAAAACUGAUGAGGUGAGGGCUAAUUGUAAGGGAGAACUCCGUUGUUGUCCAAAAUUAGGAGAAAUCAUCUUUCUGUUUGAUGAAUACAAAAGGGGAGAGAAUUAGUAUUGUGGUGAAUUAUGUGAUAGCACCUAUAUAACUAACUCGGAGAAAAUAUUCCUCUAGACUUAAUGUUACAAAUGACUAUAAGAACCAUUUAAGAAGUUCAAUAUAAGGCAUUGAAAAACCAAGAAAUGAAAUAUGCUAUAUCCUUGGUUUAGUGUUAACCUCUCUUUUAUUAUUUGAUGUAGUUAACAAAGCAAAUGACGAUUCAAGCUAAAGGGGUGGCUUCCAGUUUGGUUGAAACAAUACAAGGUUUAGGCUUCAAGUUACAAACAUUAAAUCUGAGCGCUACCAGGAUGAAGAAGAUAUCACUUAAGGAGUGGAUUUUGGAGUUCAG
RNAcentral lists this long non-coding RNA (1480 nucleotides) under Capsicum annuum. Its description in RNAcentral is "long non-coding RNA (CANN_LNC005066)". Lineage: Eukaryota; Viridiplantae; Streptophyta; Magnoliopsida; Solanales; Solanaceae. The record is from RNAcentral.